Molecule: ribosomal RNA, 173 nt
Filed under: uncultured Ascomycota
Lineage: Eukaryota; Fungi; Ascomycota
Description: partial 18S ribosomal RNA
Source: RNAcentral
UACUGCUAUCCUGAGGGGAAACUUUGGGCAGGAACCAGCUACUAGAUGGUUCGAUUAGUCUUUCGCCCCUAUACCCAAAUUUGACGAUCGAUUUGCACGUCAGAACCGCUGCGAGCCUCCACCAGAGUUUCCUCUGGCUUCACCCUAUUCAGGCAUAGUUCACCAUCUUUCGG